AUGGCGACCACCAACACCAAAGCCAUAAAAUCCUCUUGUGGCCUCCUUCUCAUCACAAUCCUCCUAGCUAUGUCUUCAAACAAUGCAUGUGGCGAAGACCUACCGCCUUCACCAGCAUAGGCGCUGCUGUCAUCCCCCGUCGGCGGACGAUGCAAGUUGAGCGAUGAAAUUGCUCUCAAAGUGUGCGUCAACAUCCGCUUGGGCAAGAUGAGCCGUUUGAGAAGAACCAGUGCUGCCAGCAGAUUCGUCAGACGCCAAGCGCCGUAGACUAUUUGUGUUCUGCCUUCACCCGAGCACGUGCCCGUGUCUAUGCCAAUGUCCUUGAUGAAAUCAAUGCCAUUCUCACAGUCUGUGGUAAGACUCGUGUCCAUGACCAAUUCUGUCUCCAACGAUCAGGGUGA
RNAcentral lists this ribosomal RNA (401 nucleotides) under Triticum aestivum (bread wheat). RNAcentral describes it as "partial small subunit ribosomal RNA". The record is from RNAcentral. Lineage: Eukaryota; Viridiplantae; Streptophyta; Magnoliopsida; Poales; Poaceae.